RNAcentral lists this ribosomal RNA (487 nucleotides) under Conus retifer. Its description in RNAcentral is "partial 16S ribosomal RNA". It matches the Rfam family "Bacterial large subunit ribosomal RNA", at positions 1845 to 2594 of the family's 2925-position model. Lineage: Eukaryota; Metazoa; Mollusca; Gastropoda; Neogastropoda; Conidae. The record is from RNAcentral.
AUACGAAGUCGGACCUGCCCAGUGAAUUUUAAACGGCCGCGGUACUCUGACCGUGCAAAGGUAGCAUAAUCAUUUGCCUUAUAAUUGAAGGCUGGAAUGAAUGGUUUGACAAGAAUACACCUGUCUCUUUUAGAUUGCUUAGAAUUUUAUUUUUGGAUGAAAAAGUCCAGAUGCAAUUAAAAGACAAGAAGACCCUAUCGAGCUUUAGAGAAGUUAAUAGACUUAGUUCAAACUAAUAUAAGUAAAAGGAAAGCUAUUAAAUACUUUGGUUGGGGCAACCGAGGAGCAGAUAAAGCCUCCUUUAAAGAAUAAAUCUUGCUUGUGUUGAUCCAAGCUUUUUGAUCAAAGGAAUUAGUUACCGUAGGGAUAACAGCAUUAUCUUUUUUAAGAGCCCAUAUCGAAAAAAAGGUUUGUGACCUCGAUGUUGGACCAGAAUGUCCUAAAGAUGCAGAAGUCUUUGAGGGUUGGUCUGUUCGACCAUUAAAAU